AUUUUGGCACAGCUUUCAAGAUUUUGAUACAACUGAAGCCUAAAACAAAACAGGGCAGAACAUCUUUUGUUUCUCUGAAUUUCUGGAAAUAAAUAUUUUACAAGUCACAUUUUAUGCCCCAUCUACAAUAGUAGAGGGGCAUUAUGAUUUCUGGUCUGUGGCUCUGUUCGUCCAUCCGUUCGUUCGUCUGUUCGUUCGUCC
RNAcentral lists this long non-coding RNA (201 nucleotides) under Mytilus galloprovincialis (Mediterranean mussel). Lineage: Eukaryota; Metazoa; Mollusca; Bivalvia; Mytilida; Mytilidae. The record is from RNAcentral.